Molecule: long non-coding RNA, 224 nt
Filed under: Setaria viridis
Lineage: Eukaryota; Viridiplantae; Streptophyta; Magnoliopsida; Poales; Poaceae
Description: long non-coding RNA (SVIR_LNC005476)
Source: RNAcentral
GGAAGGCCGACACAGGAAGCGACCUCCGGGUGGGCGGAUGUCAUGAGGUUAGGUUCACCAUGCAUGGUUAAAGAACUCGAAUCGAUUCGUCUGCCUCUCACAGUUUGAGACUGCUUGAUCGCUAUGUCACCCUGAGUAAAUGAGGAAUCUGAUGAUGACAUGGUUUUGUUGAUAUAUAUAUCUUGUUUUGGUUCUAUGAUUGCUUAGAAUAGGUUGCAAAACCU